Molecule: long non-coding RNA, 770 nt
Organism: Arabidopsis lyrata subsp. lyrata
Lineage: Eukaryota; Viridiplantae; Streptophyta; Magnoliopsida; Brassicales; Brassicaceae
Exons: 2
Source: RefSeq, a predicted model, not a curated record
GGACAGGUGUCAUUCAACGUUGGGUGAAGGGUUUUUUUAUGAAAGGAAAAAAAUGUCUCUGUCUUUCUCUCUCUUCGUCGACUCUUUCUCUCAUUUUCGUUUCUCUCCGAUUGCACAAAGGGAAUAGAUUUCUCUCAAAUCGGAAUCAAUCGGAGACAAAUCGGAGGGGUUUAUUCACCAAUUUCAUCAAUUCAUCGAAGUCUCCGAUGGCAAAAUCUAUCCAAUACGUCUCGGCGAUUUCGAGUUGUGUAGGUUGUUGGAAGUCCCAAUCGAAGGUUUACUCAUCAAGAAAGAGAGAUUUGGGUUUGGUGUUAAAAAUCGCAUGAAUGUUGGGGAGAGAACUAAGCCAAGUUCUGAAUGUGCAUAGAGAAGAUAUGAUAAUGACUCAGUUUCGCCAGGGCUAUGAGUAUUGCUAAUAGGUCUUCUGCAACAAGUACUACUCAGCGGAGCGAUGUUGUGUUUGACUUUCUAUAAUGUGUUCAAUGUGUUUUUGCUGUAGAAGACACAAAAUCUCUGUCUUGUAUAAGCCAAGUAUAAGCGGGUGAAGAGCCUGUAUCAUCAUCACCUUUGUCAUCUCCAGCUCUGUUGGGUAGUGGAAAAGAAGAAGAGCAGAAGAUUAUCCCAAAGCGUCAGAAAGUUCAGGUUGUCCUUAAGUUCAUAAAGCAGGUGUCUAGAACAGUUUUACUUUUCAGAUGAUCUUGUUCUUACAAUCUUUAAACAAGCCUUUGUCCAAGCGUUCAUAUUUUUUUCACACCAAUUUCUUCUUCUCA